GGGGAAUAUUGGACAAUGGGCGCAAGCCUGAUCCAGCCAUGCCGCGUGAGUGAUGAAGGCCUUAGGGUUGUAAAGCUCUUUCACCGGAGAAGAUAAUGACGGUAUCCGGAGAAGAAGCCCCGGCUAACUUCGUGCCAGCAGCCGCGGUAAUACGAAGGGGGCUAGCGUUGUUCGGAAUUACUGGGCGUAAAGCGCACGUAGGCGGAUCGAUCAGUCAGGGGUGAAAUCCCAGAGCUCAACUCUGGAACUGCCUUUGAUACUGUCGAUCUAGAGUAUGGAAGAGGUGAGUGGAAUUCCGAGUGUAGAGGUGAAAUUCGUAGAUAUUCGGAAGAACACCAGUGGCGAAGGCGACUAACUGGACACGUAUUGACGCUGAGGUACGAAAGCGUGGGGAGCAAA
Molecule: ribosomal RNA, 399 nt
Filed under: uncultured bacterium
Lineage: Bacteria
Description: bacterial SSU rRNA
Rfam family: Bacterial small subunit ribosomal RNA
Source: RNAcentral